UACGUAGGGGGCAAGCGUUGUUCGGAAUUACUGGGCGUAAAGGGCUUGUAGGUGGCCACGCCAAGUCGGAUGUGAAAUCUCCCGGCUCAACUGGGAGGGGUCAUUCGAUACUGGCGGGCUCGAGGCCGGUAGGGGGAAGUGGAAUUCCCGGUGUAGUGGUGGAAUGCGUAGAUAUCGGGAGGAACACCAGUGGCGAAGGCGGCUUCCUGGACCGGUUCUGACACUGAGGAGCGAAAGCGUGGGGAGCGAUCCGG
Molecule: ribosomal RNA, 254 nt
Filed under: uncultured bacterium
Lineage: Bacteria
Description: partial 16S ribosomal RNA
Rfam family: Bacterial small subunit ribosomal RNA
Source: RNAcentral